RNAcentral lists this unclassified non-coding RNA (387 nucleotides) under soil metagenome. RNAcentral's name for it is "partial contains 5.8S ribosomal RNA, internal transcribed spacer 2, and large subunit ribosomal RNA". The stretch from base 1 to 120 matches the Rfam family "5.8S ribosomal RNA", at positions 35 to 154 of the family's 154-position model. The record is from RNAcentral.
GAUGAAGAACGUAGCGAAAUGCGAUAAGUAAUGUGAAUUGCAGAAUUCCGUGAAUCAUCGAAUCUUUGAACGCACCUUGCGCUCCUUGGUAUUCCGAGGAGCAUGCCUGUUUGAGUGUCAUGAAAUUCUCAACCUUUUCAGCUUUCUUUGUUGAUCAGGCUUGGAUGUGGGAGUAUGCGGGCUUCUCAGAAGUCGGCUCUCCUGAAAUGCAUUAGCGGGACCUUUGUUGCCUGGCUUUGGUGUGAUAAUUAUCUACGCCAUUGUAGUCAAGCAGCUUAAAAUGAGGUUUCAGCUUCUAACCGUCUCCCCUGAGACAACUUUUUGACAAUUUGACCUCAAAUCAGGUAGGACUACCCGCUGAACUUAAGCAUAUCAAUAAGCGGAGGA